GAUGAACGCUGGCGGCGUGCUUAACACAUGCAAGUCGAACGAUGAAGCGCAGCUUGCUGGGCGGAUUCGUGGCGAACGGGGGAGUAACACGUGAGUAACCUGCCCUUCACUCUGGGAUAAGCCUGGGAAACUGGGCCUAAUACAGGAUAUGACUUCUCAUCGCACGGAGGGGGGGGGAAAGAUGUAUUGGUCUUGGAUGGACUCGCGGCCUAUCGGCUCGUUGGUGAGGUAAUGGCUCACUAAGGCGACGACUGGUAGCCGGCGUGAGAGGGUGACCCGCCGCCCUGCGCCUGAGCGACGGCCCAGUCUGCAACCGGGUGCCGCCGUCGUCAUCCUUGCUCAAUCAGCCCGAGCCUGUUCCUGCGGCGCCCCGUGCGCGAAGUCGUCCUACCGGUUGUAAACCUCUUUCAGUGAUGACGUGCCCUGAUUGACGGUACCUGCAGAAGAAGCCCCGGCUAACUACGUG
RNAcentral lists this ribosomal RNA (466 nucleotides) under uncultured bacterium. RNAcentral's name for it is "partial 16S ribosomal RNA". It matches the Rfam family "Bacterial small subunit ribosomal RNA", at positions 28 to 507 of the family's 1533-position model. The record is from RNAcentral.